ACUGUGGAGUGUUACAUAAACUAUAGUAGAUGCUUUUACGGAUCGAGAUAGGACACUAUGAAGCAGUAA
The submitters of this non-coding RNA (69 nucleotides) gave its source as unclassified sequences. The record is from Rfam.